AUCGAACGCUGGCGGCAGGCCUAACACAUGCAAGUCGAGCGAGCGGAGGACGGGUGAGUAAUGCCUGGGAAACUGACUGACGGAGGGGGAUAACUCCUGGAAAAGGUAGCUAAUACCGCAUACCAUCAGAUGUGCCCAGUGGUGAUCAGCCAGUAGGUGGGGUAAUGGCUAACCUAGGCGACGAUCCCUAUCUGGUCUGAUAGGAUGACCAGCAACAUUGAACAUGAGGCAGGGUCCAGAGUCGUAGGGGAGGCAGCAGUGGUGAAUAUUGCACAAUGGGGGAAAGCCUGAUGCCACCAUGCCGCUUGUAUGAGGAGGGCCUGCGGGUUGUAGAGUUCUUACAGCGAGAAGGCGUUACUCGCAGAAGAAGCGCCGGCUAACUCCGUGCCAGCCGCCGCGGUAAUUC
This 406-nucleotide ribosomal RNA is filed under the name uncultured bacterium. RNAcentral's name for it is "partial 16S ribosomal RNA". It matches the Rfam family "Bacterial small subunit ribosomal RNA", at positions 30 to 526 of the family's 1533-position model. The record is from RNAcentral.